RNAcentral lists this transfer RNA (66 nucleotides) under Nannophya pygmaea. RNAcentral's name for it is "tRNA-Ile". The record is from RNAcentral. Lineage: Eukaryota; Metazoa; Arthropoda; Insecta; Odonata; Libellulidae.
AAUAAGACGCCUGACGAAAGGAUUAUCUUGAUAGGAUAAAUAAUGUAGAGUAUUCUACUCUUAUUA